RNAcentral lists this ribosomal RNA (482 nucleotides) under uncultured bacterium. Its description in RNAcentral is "partial 16S ribosomal RNA". It matches the Rfam family "Bacterial small subunit ribosomal RNA", at positions 28 to 523 of the family's 1533-position model. The record is from RNAcentral.
GACGAACGCUGGAGGCGUGCUUAACACAUGCAAGUCGAACGAUGAAAUGGAGCUUGCUCCAUGGAUUAGUGGCGAACGGGUGAGUAACACGUGAAUAACCUGCCCUUAAUUUUGGAAUAACCCAGGGAAACCUGGGCUAAUACCGGAUAAGUAAACCUGUGGCGUCACAUGGUUUUGGAAAGUUUUUCGAUUAAGGAUGGAUUCGCGGCCUAUCAGCUUGUUGGUGAGGUAAUGGCUCACCAAGGCGACGACGGGUAGCCGGCCUGAGAGGGUGAACGGCCACACUGGGACUGAGACACGGCCCAGACUCCUACGGGAGGGAGCAGUGGGGAAUAUUGCGCAAUGGACGAAAGUCUGACGCAGCGACGCCGCGUGAGGGACGAAGGUCUUCGGAUUGUAAACCUCUUUCAGCAGGGACGAAGCGAAAGUGACGGUACCUGCAGAAGAAGCACCGGCUAACUAUGUGCCAGCCGCCGCGGUAA